Ictidomys tridecemlineatus (thirteen-lined ground squirrel) is the source of this 70-nucleotide small nucleolar RNA. The record is from Ensembl. Lineage: Eukaryota; Metazoa; Chordata; Mammalia; Rodentia; Sciuridae.
CCACAAUGACAGGAAGAUUUGUCAUCAACAGCAAUUCAGCUGGUAAGUGUUGAUGUUCUGCUCUGAGUGG